Molecule: ribosomal RNA, 460 nt
Filed under: uncultured bacterium
Lineage: Bacteria
Description: partial 16S ribosomal RNA
Rfam family: Bacterial small subunit ribosomal RNA
Source: RNAcentral
CCUACGGGGGACAGCAGUGAGGAAUAUUGGUCAAUGGACGAGAGUCUGAACCAGCCAAGUAGCGUGAAGGAUGACUGCCCUAUGGGUUGUAAACUUCUUUUAUAUGGGAAUAAAAUGUUCCACGUGUGGGAGUUUGUAUGUACCAUAUGAAUAAGGAUCGGCUAACUCCGGGCCAGCAGCCGCGGUAAUACGGAGGAUCCGAGCGUUAUCCGGAUUUAUUGGGUUUAAAGGGAGCGUAGGUGGAUUGUUAAGUCAGUUGUGAAAGUUUGCGGCUCAACCGUAAAAUUGCAGUUGAAACUGGCAGUCUUGAGUACAGUAGAGGUGGGCGGAAUGCGUGGUGUAGCGGUGAAAUGCUUAGAUAUCACGAAGAACUCCGAUUGCGAAGGCAGCUCACUGGACUGCAACUGACACUGAGGCUCGAAAGUGUGGGUAUCAAACAGGAUUAGAUACCCGUGUAGUC